CUACUUUCGUCAUGAAAGAAGUUUAAAAGGACGGCGUAAAGCUGUCGCUAAAAGGGAUGGGACCUGCGAUGCAUUAGCUAGUUGGUAAGGUAACGGGCUUACCAAGGCGAUGAUGCAUAGCCCGAGUUGAGAGACUGAUCGGCCACAUUGGGGACUGAGACACGGGCCCAAACUCCUACGGGAGGCAGCAGUAGGGAAUCUUCCACAAUGGACGAAAGUCUGAUGGAGCAAACGCCGCGUGAGUGAAGAAGGUUUUCGGAUCGUAAAGCUCUGUUGUUGGUGAAGAAGGAUAGAGGUAGUAACUGGCCCUUUAUUUGACGGUAAUCAACCAGAAAGUCACGGGCUAACUACGUGCCAGCAGCCGCGGUAAAU
This 372-nucleotide ribosomal RNA is filed under the name uncultured Lactobacillus sp. RNAcentral describes it as "bacterial SSU rRNA". It matches the Rfam family "Bacterial small subunit ribosomal RNA", at positions 180 to 525 of the family's 1533-position model. Lineage: Bacteria; Bacillati; Bacillota; Bacilli; Lactobacillales; Lactobacillaceae. The record is from RNAcentral.